Molecule: ribosomal RNA, 1040 nt
Filed under: uncultured bacterium
Lineage: Bacteria
Description: bacterial SSU rRNA
Rfam family: Bacterial small subunit ribosomal RNA
Source: RNAcentral
AGAGUUUGAUCAUGGCUCAGAAUGAACGUUGGCGGCGUGGAUUAGGCAUGCAAGUCGUACGGUAAGCUUCGGCUUAUAGUGGCGAAAGGGAGAGUAACGCGUGGUUACAUGCCCUCGGGACCGGGAUAGCGGCGGGAAACUGCCGGUAAUACCGGAUAAUAUCUUUGGAUCAAAGGUGUGAUUCCGCCCGAGGAUUGGACCGCGUUCUAUUAGCUUGUUGGCGGGGUAAUGGCCCACCAAGGCGACGAUGGAUACCGGGUGUGAGAGCAUGGCCCGGCUCACUGGGACUGAGACACUGCCCAGACACCUACGGGUGGCUGCAGUCGAGAAUCUUCGGCAAUGGGGGCAACCCUGACCGAGCGACGCCGCGUGCGGGACGAAGGCCUUCGGGUUGUAAACCGCUGUCAGUUGGGAGGAAGUGCCGGGGGGUUCUCCCCUCGGUUUGACCGAUCUUCAGAGGAAGGACGGGCUAAGUUCGUGCCAGCAGCCGCGGUAAGACGAACCGUCCAAACGUUAUUCGGUAUCACUGGGCUUAAAGCGUGCGUAGGCGGCCUGGUAGGUGAGGUGUGAAAGCCCACGGCUCAACCGUGGAAUUGCGCUUCAAACCACCAGGCUGGAGGAUGGCAGGGGUGAUGGGAACUGAUGGUGGAGCGGUGAAAUGCGUUGAUAUCAUCAGGAACACCGGUGGCGAAGGCGCAUCACUGGGCCAUUUCUGACGCUGAGGCACGAAAGCUAGGGUAGCGAACGGGAUUAGAUACCCCGGUAGUCCUAGCUGUAAACGAUGAGCACUGGGUUGAGGGGACCUCCACAUCUUCUCGGCCGUAGCGAAAGCGUUAAGUGCUCCGCCUGGGGAGUAUGGCCGCAAGGCUGAAACUCAAAGGAAUUGACGGGGGCUCACACAAGCGGUGGAGGAUGUGGCUUAAUUCGAGGCUACGCGAAGAACCUUAUCCUAGACUUGACAUGCUUAAGAAUCUUCUGGAAACAGAGGAGUGCCCCUCGGGGAGCUUUUGCACAGGUGCUGCAUGGCUGUCGUCAGCUCG